RNAcentral lists this ribosomal RNA (500 nucleotides) under uncultured bacterium. Its description in RNAcentral is "partial 16S ribosomal RNA". It matches the Rfam family "Bacterial small subunit ribosomal RNA", at positions 30 to 523 of the family's 1533-position model. The record is from RNAcentral.
AUUGAACGCUGGCGGCAUGCUUUACACAUGCAAGUCGAACGGUAACAGGGUGCUUGCACCGCUGACGAGUGGCGAACGGGUGAGUAAUGCGUCGGAACGUGCCGAGUAGUGGGGGAUAACGCAGCGAAAGUUGUGCUAAUACCGCAUACGUACUGAGGUAGAAAGUGGGGGACCUUCGGGCCUCACGCUAUUCGAGCGGCCGACGUCUGAUUAGCUAGUAGGUGAGGUAAAGGCUCACCUAGGCGACGAUCAGUAGCGGGUCUGAGAGGAUGAUCCGCCCAACUGGGACUGAGACACGGCCCAGACUCAUACGGGAGGCAGCAGUGGGGAAUUUUGGACAAUGGGCGAAAGCCUGAUCCAGCCAUGCCGCGUGUCUGAAGAAGGCCUUCGGGUUGUAAAGGACUUUUGUCAGGGAGGAAAUCCCUAGUGCUAAUAACACUGGGGGAUGACAGUACCUGAAGAAUAAGCACCGGCUAACUACGUGCCAGCCGCCGCCGUAA